This 486-nucleotide ribosomal RNA is filed under the name uncultured bacterium. RNAcentral's name for it is "partial 16S ribosomal RNA". It matches the Rfam family "Bacterial small subunit ribosomal RNA", at positions 30 to 507 of the family's 1533-position model. The record is from RNAcentral.
AUUGAACGCUGGCGGCAUGCCUUACACAUGCAAGUCGAACGGCAGCACGGGUGCUUGCACCUGGUGGCGAGUGGCGAACGGGUGAGUAAUACAUCGGAACAUGUCCUGUAGUGGGGGAUAGCCCGGCGAAAGCCGGAUUAAUACCGCAUACGAUCUACGGAUGAAAGCGGGGGACCUUCGGGCCUCGCGCUAUAGGGUUGGCCGAUGGCUGAUUAGCUAGUUGGUGGGGUAAAGGCCUACCAAGGCGACGAUCAGUAGCUGGUCUGAGAGGACGACCAGCCACACUGGGACUGCGACACGGCCCAGACUCCUACGGGAGGCAGCAGUGGGGAAUUUUGGACAAUGGGCGAAAGCCUGAUCCAGCAAUGCCGCGUGUGUGAAGAAGGCCUUCGGGUUGUAAAGCACUUUUGUCCGGAAAGAAAUCCUUGGCCCUAAUACGGUCGGGGGAUGACGGUACCGGAAGAAUAAGCACCGGCUAACUACGUG